UUAAAAAAACUUGCUAGCAAGUAUCUGUUCUGUUUGCUUCGGAUACCAUUCUACUCACAGGUCACAAUUCCUCCAUUCCCGCAUCGUUUGAAGUAUUCUCCCCUAGAGUCACUCCAUAAUUGUCCCUAUCUCCGACACUAAGAUUUCUUAAUACAUACCAUCUCCUUUAAUACACAGGCAUAUACACGCCCAUGAAAACAUACCAUAUUGGUUUUUCAGCAGCUAUAUUACAAAUCGACAUUAGCUUUACUUUGCAUUCUUCAGGUUUUAAUCAUCUGAUUUGUAGUUAUUAGUAUUUUCUUCCAACUGAAUAUUAUCUAACUUGUUUUUUCCUUUGCAGAUUUUCUUACUGGCAGCUCUAUUCUUGGACCAAAAACAGGGACAUGGAGAGGGGAGAGCAAGCUCAUUUUUUCUAUUCUCACCCCUGCUGCAACACACCUCACCAACCCAAGGGCCAUCACCCACCAGGCACCAUUCAUGUCUAUUUCUGAUACAGCUUUUGUUCUUUCCCAAGAGCCCUGUUAAAAUUUAUGUUGCAUUAGAUGUUUUCAUGUUGCUCCACUUCUAAGUAUCCACCCAUUUCCUCCACCUAAUUGCUGAAAGCAUCAGCCUUCAUUUUCUCCCUGUGUUCUUUUCAUCAGGACUAGGUCAACUCAUACCCCAAUAAGACACAGGAUUUGGACACAUAAAAUGAAUUGUGUUGCCAUCCACCUGACAAUGUUCUUAUAAAGCAAGUAGACAUAAAUGUUACAAAGGCUUUAAGUAUAACCAUUUAUUCAAACUCAAUGGGACAUACUGGCAGUCACUUAACUCAUUCAGCAAAUAUUCACCAAGCAGCUCCUAUGUGCCAAGAACUAUGAAAAGGGGUAAAUUUUCAAGAGUGACAAGAAACGGUGUCUGCCCUCAAGAACUGUGACCUUUAUAAACAUCCUUUAGAAAAUGCCAGCAGAUUUUGGUAUGAUGCUGCUGAAACAGAGAAGAACAGAUGAACAACUCCCUCUCGUGCUCUCACCAGGAGCUACACCCACUCACAGGCAGUCAGAAUCUCCUCAGCUACUCAAAUUGUUAUUUUCGGAACAAAAUAUUACAGCCUAAAUUAAAUUUGACUAUAUUUCAACUUCGCAAUAAAAGUGAAGCUCCUGAA
Long non-coding RNA from Myotis davidii, 1144 nucleotides. RefSeq lists it as uncharacterized. The record is from RefSeq and is a predicted model, not a curated record. Lineage: Eukaryota; Metazoa; Chordata; Mammalia; Chiroptera; Vespertilionidae. The transcript has 2 exons.